GCGACGAUCCGUAACUGGUCUGAGAGGAUGAUCAGUCACACUGGAACUGAGACACGGUCCAGACUCCUACGGGAGGCAGCAGUGGGGAAUAUUGGACAAUGGGCGAAAGCCUGAUCCAGCCAUGCCGCGUGUGUGAAGAAGGUUUCGGAUUGUAAAGCACUUUAAGUUGGGAGGAAGGGUUGUAGAUUAAUACUCUGCAAUUUUGACGUUACCGACAGAAUAAGCACCGGCUAACUCUGUGCCAGCAGCCGCGGUAAUACAGAGGGUGCAAGCGUUAAUCGGAAUUACUGGGCGUAAAGCGCGCGUAGGUGGUUUGUUAAGUUGGAUGUGAAAUCCCCGGGCUCAACCUGGGAACUGCAUUCAAAACUGACUGACUAGAGUAUGGUAGAGGGGUGGUGGAAUUUUCCUGUGUAUCGGUGAAAUGCUAGAUAUAGGAAGGAACACCAAUGGGCAAAGCGACCACCUUGGACUAAUACUGAACUCUGUAGGUGCGAA
Molecule: ribosomal RNA, 495 nt
Filed under: uncultured bacterium
Lineage: Bacteria
Description: bacterial SSU rRNA
Rfam family: Bacterial small subunit ribosomal RNA
Source: RNAcentral